This is a small nuclear RNA of Hyla sarda, 193 nucleotides long. RefSeq annotates it as U2 spliceosomal RNA. The record is from RefSeq and is a predicted model, not a curated record. The transcript has a single exon. Lineage: Eukaryota; Metazoa; Chordata; Amphibia; Anura; Hylidae.
AUUUUUAAUGAUUAUGGAUGAGAUAAAGUGUGGUAUCCGUCUUAUCAGUUUAAUAUCUGAUAUGUCCCCUAUUCGGGAACUAUAUAUUGAAUGGAUUUAUAAUUUUUUUUGUCUUUUUGCUUCUGUUGCUCUUGGCAUGUGACGGAUAGACCUGUUUCUGUGGGUUCAGUGCUCCCCCUGUAUUAGACUGUUU